Rhipicephalus sanguineus (brown dog tick) is the source of this 1256-nucleotide long non-coding RNA. RefSeq lists it as uncharacterized. NCBI's taxonomy places the organism in Eukaryota, Metazoa, Arthropoda, Arachnida, Ixodida, Ixodidae. The record is from RefSeq and is a predicted model, not a curated record. The transcript is spliced from 5 exons.
UUUCACGCUGGCAUUGGUGAAACGCGGCCAACGCUGCUAAAGAGAAAACUGAAACAGUUUUCGAGAAGAACGGGACGCAACAGAGAAGAGAACUCCCGAGCCGUAUUUCUGGUUCGCGAAGCACCGAGGCGCAGUGGAAUCUGCGCCGCCCAUCACGUGACAUCACCUCUGCUCGGUUCCUGGCACGAACUGUGUUGCGGAAGGCGAACACGAAAGGAAGAGCCGCCGUCUAUUUCGGGAAGCGGACGACGACGAAGAACGCGCACACCGACGGCACGUUGACGCUAAACUAUCUUCAAACAGUGCCGCACGGAAUAUCGAUCGUGAGAACGAAAAACCAGAGAGAUCAGCAUGCAAUGCCGCUUUAUAGAAUUCUUCCAGGAACUAAAGAAAGCAACAAAACAAAAGGAGAACACAGGAAAAUAUUUCACGUUGAUACUCCGCAAAGUGCGAAAACUAAAAGGCGAAAAUGACAUCACAGGACAACCUGUAUCUGUGCCAGUUCGUAGUCCGUAGAGGUCGAGCUAAUCCGAUCCGGAGAGUAGCAGAAUUCGCGAUGUGUCCUGCGCUGCCCAGGGGUUCAGCUGUUUCGACAAUGCUUCGCAGCGGCUCGGUUACCCAUACCAGCGUACUUGGUGUCUUCUCCAUCUGGUACUCUGGGGUUCUGUCGAUCAAGUGUUCUGCACGACCGAGCGUGCUUUUCUGCGAGUUGCGUUCUCACCGCAAUCGAGAUGUUCAACCAUUGCAGUAACGGUGGACCAAGAGCAGCAGAGUUCAAGGACUAUCAAAUGCUGGGUGAAGAGGAGAAGGCUGGAGGUCGGCGAAAGUGAAGGUGAUUCCGUGAGCGGCUCCUGCGGUGUGCGUCUGCUUCGAAGGAGAACUCGCUCAAAUCGGGGAAGAAGCGUCGAUUAAAGGCAGCCGCGACGUCAACGAGUGCUUACGCGAACGAAUGCGUGACCACCCUGUACGCAUUGGAUAUGCCCCUAGACUCUGCGCUAUAUUUAUGCGCUGGACGUCGUAUAUGUACAUAUUUGUCGUGAUUAUUUUGGAUUAUUUUGUACUGCGUUAUUCUUUUUAGCUGGUCUUGUUAUUGUUUGUUUAGUAGCACGACCAUGUUCAUGGAUGGGUUAGCCGGCUAGAACAUUGGCUGACCUGCCAUGUUUUCCGUGUAUAAGAUUACAGAAAAGUUAUUAAAAGGUGCGUGUGGUUGUUGGUGCGUCACUGUCGUUCUUCCAGGCUCAGCCAGAACAGGUUGG